RNAcentral lists this ribosomal RNA (1239 nucleotides) under metagenome. RNAcentral's name for it is "bacterial LSU rRNA". It matches the Rfam family "Bacterial large subunit ribosomal RNA", at positions 1564 to 2813 of the family's 2925-position model. The record is from RNAcentral.
CGAAUACGAGAUGCUAAGGCGUCGAAGUAGUGUAUGUCAUACUUCCAAGAAAAGCUUGCACUGUCAUAGAUAAAAAAUGCCUGUACCAUAACCGACACAGGUGGGUAAGUAGAGUAUACUAAGGGGCGCGAGAUAACUCUCUCUAAGGAACUCGGCAAAAUAACUCCGUAACUUCGGGAGAAGGAGUGCCUUAUUCUUAAGGUUGCAAUAACAAGAUCCAAGCAACUGUUUAUCAAAAACACAGGUCUCCGCUAAGUCGUAAGACGAUGUAUGGGGGCUGACGCCUGCCCAGUGCCAGAAGGUUAAAGAAGUUGGUUAGCAAUUGCGAAGCUGGUAACUGAAGCCCUGGUGAACGGCGGCCGUAACGAUAACGGUCCUAAGGUAGCGAAAUUCCUUGUCGGGUAAGUUCCGACCCGCACGAAAGGCGUAAUGAUUUGGAUGCUGUCUCGGAGAGGGGCUCGGUGAAAUAGACUUGUCUGUGAAGAUGCGGACUACCUGCACCAGGACAGAAAGACCCUAUGAAGCUUUACUGUAACUUGAAAUUGAAAUUGGACUUUAUUUGCGCAGUAUAGGUGGGAGGCGUUGAUUAUAAUCUGGCGGGAUUAUUGGAGCCAUCAGUGAGAUACCACUCUUGUAAUGUUAGAUUUCUAACUUUGAAUCAUUACCUGGUCAAAGGACAAUUUCAGGCGGGCAGUUUGACUGGGGCGGUCGCCUCCUAAAUGGUAACGGAGGCGUACAAAGGUUUCCUCUGAACGGUUAGAAAUCGUAUCUAGAGUGUAAAGGCAUAAGGAAGCUUGACUGUGAGACCUACAAGUCGAGCAGGGACGAAAGUCGGUCUUAGUGAUCUGACGGUACUGAGUGGAAAGGCCGUCACUCAACGGAUAAAAGUUACUCUAGGAUAACAGGCUGAUCUCCCCCAAGAGUUCACAUCGACGGGGAGGUUUGGCACCUCGAUGUCGGCUCAUCGCAUCCUGGGGCGGUAGUACGUCCCAAGGGUUGGGCUGUUCGCCCAUGAAAGCGGUACGCGAGCUGGGUUCAGAACGUCGUGAGACAGUUCGGUCCAUAUCCGGUGUAGGCGUUAGAAUAUUGAGAGGAGCCUUCUUUAGUACGAGAGGACCGAGAAGGACAUACCUCUGGUGUACCAGUUAUCGUGCCAACGGUAAACGCUGGGUAGCUAUGUAUGGAGUGGAUAACCGCUGAAAGCAUCUAAGUGGGAAGCCCACCUCAAGAUAAGUAUUC